This 200-nucleotide long non-coding RNA is filed under the name Prunus persica (peach). RNAcentral describes it as "long non-coding RNA (PPER_LNC005552)". Lineage: Eukaryota; Viridiplantae; Streptophyta; Magnoliopsida; Rosales; Rosaceae. The record is from RNAcentral.
UUUUUAGAAAAAUAAGUUAUUUACUCCACGAAUUACGGGUAAGAUGUUGGGUUCUCAGAUAUAUAGGCAUUUUACACUAUAACUUACCGGUAAGAUAUGAUGUUUUUAGAAAAACAGACUAUUUACUAAAUAAAAUAGGGAUAAAAUGUUGUGUUCUCAGAUAUAUAGCCAUUUUAUAAUAUAACUUACCAUUAAGAUAC